This 505-nucleotide unclassified non-coding RNA is filed under the name Hevea brasiliensis (rubber tree). The record is from RNAcentral. Lineage: Eukaryota; Viridiplantae; Streptophyta; Magnoliopsida; Malpighiales; Euphorbiaceae.
UUGAAUUGGGCUUCUUUGCUUUCUUUUCUGUUUCUAUAAUUUAGGGUUUGGCCUCGAGGUUGAGCAGUGAGGUAUUCUUCUUUCUUUCUUUCUUCUGUUUUAGGGUUUUUGUUACUAGGAUAGAAUUAAAAUUAAAGGUGGAGAGAGAUUGAGAGGGAGGGAGUGUUGAUUUUCCUUCUCCGUCUCUCGGGUCUGGCGGUGAAAUACAAGUAGUUUAGGAGGAUGGAAGGAAGGAGGAUAUCGGCGAAUCCAAGACCAUGCUCGGGAAGGAGGAUAUUGGCGAAGAAAAGGCCUCGCACCAAUGGAUUUUCUAACACUGUUAAGAAGUUGCAGAGACGCGAGAUUUCGUCUAAGCGAGAUCGUGCUUUCAGUAUGAGCAAUUCCCAGGAGAGGUUUCGCAAUAUGAGUUUGAUGGAGGAGUAUGAUACUCAUGAUCCCAAGGGCCAUUGUUCGGUAGUGCUGCCCUUUUUGAUGAAGAGAACAAAAGUCAUUGAGAUUGUAGCUA